UACGUAGGGGGCUAGCGUUGUCCGGAAUCAUUGGGCGUAAAGCGCGCGUAGGCGGCCUCAUAAGUCCGCUGUGAAAGUCAAAGGCUCAACCUUUGGAUGCCGGUGGAUACUGUGAGGCUAGAGUCCGGAAGAGGCGAGUGGAAUUCCUGGUGUAGCGGUGGAAUGCGCAGAUAUCAGGAGGAACACCGACGGCGAAGGCAGCUCGCUGGGACGGUACUGACGCUGAGGCGCGAAAGCGUGGGGAGCGAACAGGAUUAGAAACCCCCGUAGUCC
This 273-nucleotide ribosomal RNA is filed under the name uncultured bacterium. RNAcentral describes it as "partial 16S ribosomal RNA". It matches the Rfam family "Bacterial small subunit ribosomal RNA", at positions 524 to 796 of the family's 1533-position model. The record is from RNAcentral.